RNAcentral lists this ribosomal RNA (253 nucleotides) under uncultured bacterium. RNAcentral's name for it is "partial 16S ribosomal RNA". It matches the Rfam family "Bacterial small subunit ribosomal RNA", at positions 524 to 776 of the family's 1533-position model. The record is from RNAcentral.
UACGGGGGGGGCAAGCGUUGUUCGGAAUUACUGGGCGUAAAGGGCUCGUAGGCGGCCAUCUAAGUCGGACGUGAAAUCCCUCGGCUUAACCGGGGAACUGCCUUUGAUACUGAAGAUCUUGAGUUCGGGAGAGGUGAGUGGAACUGCGAGUGUAGAGGUGAAAUUCGUAGAUAUUCGCAAGAACACCAGUGGCGAAGGCGGCUCACUGGCCCGAUACUGACGCUGAGGCACGAAAGCGUGGGGAGCAAACAGG